This is a long non-coding RNA of Vicia villosa (hairy vetch), 1860 nucleotides long. RefSeq lists it as uncharacterized. NCBI's taxonomy places the organism in Eukaryota, Viridiplantae, Streptophyta, Magnoliopsida, Fabales, Fabaceae. The transcript is spliced from 7 exons. The record is from RefSeq and is a predicted model, not a curated record.
UCUCUCUCUUUCAUUUCUCCAACCCUAAUAUUCACUCUCUCUCUUUCUUUCUCUUCCACCGAGAAUGGGAAAAGCUUUGAACCAAGGCAACAAAUUAAUGUGAAAAAGUCCAAUGAAAUAUGUAAAGACCGAUGACAAAGAUGAGUUAGUGAAUCACAUUGGCCUCUCACAUCCUAAAUUUUUUCCGAUAUGUUCCCUCUCUAUAAACCUUCUGAGACCCAUAGCAAACUACAGAAACUCAUGUCAAGAUCGAAGACAAAGAUUCGAAGCAAACGGCAGAAACCCAUAACCACACUAAUCUUCGUCUUCGAUUCUAUGGAUUUACAUAUGGUGACCAUAUUUGCUAAUGGGGAGAGAGAAAUUGGUGAGUUAAUUGCAAAGUUUAUGAAGAGAGUUGGAAAAGAAGGUGUAAUCACAAUUGUUCUGAAGCCAACCAUCGAUAAAUUGAAAGAUCCAAUGGCAGGAAUCAUGGACAUGAUGAAGAGUACAAUUCUUGUCAGCAUUGAGAUGGCGCAAUUUUCUCAUGUCUCAAACUAUGUUAGCAAGGCAUAACUGGGAACAAAUGCAAUUUAGGAAAUGAAAGACUCAAGAAUAUUGAAGAUACUUUGAGUGCUGCCAGACUAAACUAUUGUAGAUAUUAAAACAGAUUUUAUGGUGGAACUAAAAUUGAUAUCUUGGGCAAAAAUGUUGUCGAGAAGUAUAGUAAGGACAAAUGUCGGCGUUGAAGGUUGACAUUGCCUCAUGUUUUCCCUCAGUUCAUCUAAGGAAACAAGUAAACCAAACCAAAACAAGGGUCUACACAUGUUGUGUGUUCCAUCGUUACAUGGGGAUUUUUAUCACAACUCUCUUGAUAUCUCUUGAUAUGAUAUUAUGUAAGGAGCUUAAGAAUAUUGGGAACAAAGUGUGCUUUUGAAUGAACAUAUCAACUACAAGAGCUAAUCAAUGACUGAUUAGAGGCAAGGACAGUUUGAGAAAAUGAUCUCAUUUUCUAACUUCUCUCUCUGCUUCACCUCUCUCUGUGUAAAGAAUCAAAUUGGAGGCAAGGAAAGUUUACUUUAUCAAAAAGUUGUCCCAAAAAGCACAAACUCAUUCCACAAAUUUGUGAUAUGUUCCUGCAGGAAAUUUACAAUUGAUUUCUAAAUGUCUGUUAAUUAUGUAUUUAUUACUAAAUGUUAAGUUAUGGUAUAUAUUCUUUUUCAUGACAGUCUGUUUGCAAUUGCAAUAAGUGUUCCAUGUUUUAGCUUUUGUUGAUAAGUCAGCUAUGCCAUUGAUCAUAAAAUACUUUAAAUGUCAUGAACAAUUACUACAAAAUCAAAGUUUAAAAGAAUUGUAGUCCACUUGAUUCAUGCAUGAAAUUAUUUACUGUUUACAGAUAUAAAAAAUUGUCAUGUUGCAGAGAUGAUUGUGGAUCCUCAACUUUUUCCAAACCCCUCAUUGCAAGUAUCUAACUUUGAAUCACAUGCUCAUAGGUUGAUAAAUAGUCGGUGAAAAUUUAUUGAAGUCAUUUCAGUUCUUCAUAAACCAAAAUUCACAAGAUUAACUUGCAAAAAAAAUGUUCUAGCAUCCAUUUGCUUAUAGAGUUGUUGUUAAUCCCAGCGACUUGAUUGCCACAGAAGUUCUAAUUUGGAGGUUCAAUGACACUGCAUCUUCAUGAGAAAGUAGACAUAUGGUGUAUUGGUUCAGGUUGCGAAGUGCAAUGUAUGCAGGCCAACUAUGUGUGGUGCGGUCCGAACAAAUGUAUUCGGUUUAAUGUCUUGAACAUGCUACGAAAGGCUAGGAUGUAGAGCAAACAAUGCAUGGAUUAUCAAACCUUGAAUAUAAUAGUUAGUGAAAUGUGUUAUGCUUAUUUAUUUUUGUCAA